GAAUGUCUGGCUUGUUUCACAGUCUUCUGGGGACACUUGUGUUAAGAAGAAAUCAGAGGACUUAGAGUAUUUUGCUUUGCCUCGAGGGUCUCUUCACAGUUGAAGGAAUAGAAGAAAGCUGCUGCACAAGUCUAGCUUCCCCCAAGAGGAGUGUGGCUCUCAAAUGCCAGAGAGGAAGACCUGGUUCACUCUGUGGCCAAGAAGAGCUACAGAGCUGAUGCAUGGACCUUGCACACAGCUCCACAGCUGGAUUCUGCUCCCUCCCAGUGGAUUAGAGGCUGUGACCUGGGAUUUGAAUCGAACCUACUGGUCUAACGCAAUGGCGUUCCACUGACUUUGGCUGAAGGAUCUAUUUGUCUUCUCCAUAGCAUAUAAUAAUGAACAACAAUAGGAUAUUUUCACAUGGUUUCUGAAGAUGAUGAUCACACAUUACAAAACAAGCACUACUACUGUCUAGAAUAACUGUUUUCAUAUUCAUGGCUUUCAAGUUAAGAUUUCAAAUAAUGAUCAAAAACAUUUAAGGUGUACAUUUGUACCUUUGUGACUGAGGACUGGUAGAGGGAAGGACCAAGGAUUUCUAUCUGGCAAACACUAAAUGUCUUUUAUGGUAAUCUUUGUCACUUAUUCUUUAAUUUCCCUGUAACACUUUUUUCACAUUAAAUAUUCCUGGACUAUUAGUAGAUUCUGGUUCAGAUAAAACUCCUACGACGGAAGGAAUUGCUUUCCUGUUUUCGCAGAUCCUUGUUCAGUUGUUUCUCUUCAUCUUCUCUCUCUAAUCUCUGUACAGUUUCUUCAUUUUUGGUAGGCUGGUCUUUUUUCAUAAAAGAUGCUGGUUAUAUGUUCAUUAGUUUUCAUCAAUUUUCUGCUGUCUUUAGGAGCCUCAAUUAUUUUAGCUUGUGGUGAGGUUCCGUUUGCCUCAGUUUGCCUAACUUUUUCAGAGUUGUAUUCUGCAGCCUUGUGUAUUUUAUUUUUUUCAUUAAGUCUUUUUAUUAUGCUCUUUUAGCUAAUUUCCCCGUGGAGUUAAGUAAUAUUUCAGUUACUUUUUAAUCCAAAGGUUAGUCACUACAUUCCGUGUUAUUUGUUCAUUCCUCUGGGGACAAUUUUCCUAUUUCUCUAUGAUUUUUCUUUUUAUUUUAAAAUUCUGAGGAUUACAGCUUAAAAAAAAAGUCUUUAAUUAUGGACUUAAUUAAUAAAGAUUGUUGGGCAUUCACUUUAAUUUUAUUAGUCCUGUCUUCCUCCAUAUUCACACAGUUUCUGAACAUUUACUGAAAUUUCAAAAAUUUCAGAAGAUAAAACUGUGCAUCCAGAAAUAUAUAUUCAAAAGUUUAUUUUUCUUUGGUGUUUCAUUUCUCAGUUAUGUGGACAUUUUAAAUAAUACUACCGGGGUGGAAAUUUUGGCUUGUGAGCUAAAUGGUGAGUUUCAUGCUGUGAACAGUUAAUAUGAACUGUUCGCAAACAAUGCAAAGGAUUGUGCUCUGCUAAUAUAGAAGCAAUUUGGUGUAUGCCUAUGGAUAGAGAAAAUCUGUCCGCAGAAGAUUCAAGAACAGGAAAAGACUAAACUUACAGUAAAUCUUACUUGUAAUGUAUAAUUUGACCCAAUAAACAUGAAAGCGAAUUUUA
Dromaius novaehollandiae (emu) is the source of this 1620-nucleotide long non-coding RNA. RefSeq lists it as uncharacterized. The transcript has 3 exons. NCBI's taxonomy places the organism in Eukaryota, Metazoa, Chordata, Aves, Casuariiformes, Dromaiidae. The record is from RefSeq and is a predicted model, not a curated record.